This 79-nucleotide small RNA is filed under the name uncultured Synechococcus sp. RNAcentral describes it as "ATPC RNA motif". It matches the Rfam family "ATPC RNA motif", at positions 16 to 91 of the family's 92-position model. Lineage: Bacteria; Bacillati; Cyanobacteriota; Cyanophyceae; Synechococcales; Synechococcaceae. The record is from RNAcentral.
UCGUCUGCUAGAAACUUCUGCGCGCAGGUCCGACCAUUAGUUUUCGGGCCCACUUUCUUUUAAGACGGUGUCCCUGCGC